GUUGUUCCUCUAUUCUUGUUCUCAAAACUGAAGCUGUUGAAGACUAUGCCAGGAAAUUUCAAGUUGUAUGGUAGUGUGUGUAUUAUAUCAUAUUAUACUGGCUCUAUUGUUUUAUGUAGGACAACCAGUCAGUAUUUCAAUGAUCCAUUCAUUCAUUAUUGGUAAUAAAGUCCUGCCCUAAUCUUUAUACAUGAUAUUACUCAGGAUACUAUUUCAAGUGUCGAUAUUACUCAGUAUAUUGUUUCAAGUCUCAUCUAUUGUACAGUAAAUAUGUGUUGUUCUUGUAUUAUUAUCUAUUUUACAGGUUAUAUUCAUGUACCUGAUCCAUUCAGGAUAUUUUAAGUAUUGUCCAGUAUAUGAUUAUAUUAUUAUUUAUUUUACAGGUUCAUAAAUACACUGAAUUAAGUCUUUAUUUCAUGGUUAUGUUUGGGUAACAAAUGGAAAAAUUUAAAAUGUAUUCUUGUUUAUUUUUAGUAUUCUAAAGGUGGAACUGAACUACCCAAGUGUCUGGGUUUUGGUAAUAUUCUCACUAUUCUUUCACACAUUUUCAUGUUUUGGUGUUACUCUUUUACUGUCAGUAUCUUAUUGUUAAUACGUGAUGAUUAAAUUUAUAUAUUUUGUAUAUUUCAGGUUGAUGUUCAUUACUUGUGUCAAUGGAUCAGAGACAGUUCUCUAUUGGUUAAUGAUAUCCACACACUAUCAUGUACAUGUACAUCCUUAUCUGUAACAUGUAUUCUAUUUCCCUUUCCUUAAGAUUGCUACACAGACUCAAGCCAGCAUGCAGUCUUCUUCAGCAUCAAUUCAGUCCCAGUCUUCAGUGUAUGGUAACAAUGUAUCUAUUGCAUGUUAUUAAUAACCUUGAUUACAGUGCUAAUAAUAAACGGCUCAUUUUAUCACUAUUCAUCCCAUUACAUGUAAUAAAGCACUGUCCCAUUGAUCUUUACUUAUUCUAUUGUUUAAAUAUUUUUGUCUUUUUUAUUUCUACAGGGAUCAAGUUUAAAGUUGGUUGAGUGUGAGGUAGAGUGAGAGUUAAUAAUGUAUAAUUACGCAUGCUUAUAAUGUAUUUUAUGCAUGUACAAUAUAAUCCACACAUGUCCUUCCACCCCCCACCACCUCUAGUAGGUCUGACUGUUCUGGACUGGACUCGGGAUCAAGUUUAAAGUUGGUUGAGUGUGAGGUAGAGUGAGAGUUAAUAAUGUAUAAUUACGCAUGCUUAUAAUGUAUUUUAUGCAUGUACAAUAUAAUCCACACAUGUCCUUCCACCCC
RNAcentral lists this long non-coding RNA (1266 nucleotides) under Amphimedon queenslandica. RNAcentral's name for it is "uncharacterized LOC109592684, transcript variant X4". Lineage: Eukaryota; Metazoa; Porifera; Demospongiae; Haplosclerida; Niphatidae. The record is from RNAcentral.